RNAcentral lists this ribosomal RNA (253 nucleotides) under uncultured bacterium. Its description in RNAcentral is "partial 16S ribosomal RNA". It matches the Rfam family "Bacterial small subunit ribosomal RNA", at positions 524 to 776 of the family's 1533-position model. The record is from RNAcentral.
UACAGAGGGUGCAAGCGUUGUUCGGAAUUAUUGGGCGUAAAGCGCGUGUAGGCGGCUUUGCAAGUCGGGUGUGAAAGCCCACAGCUUAACUGUGGAAGUGCGCUCGAAACUGCAGAGCUUGAGUACCGGAGAGGAUGGCGGAAUUCCCCAAGUAGAGGUGAAAUUCGUAGAUAUGGGGAGGAACACCGGUGGCGAAGGCGGCAUCCUGGACCGAGAUUGACGCUGAGGCGCGAAAGCCAGGGGAGCAAACGGG